RNAcentral lists this unclassified non-coding RNA (315 nucleotides) under Tomentella subtestacea. RNAcentral's name for it is "sequence contains 5.8S rRNA gene". The record is from RNAcentral. Lineage: Eukaryota; Fungi; Basidiomycota; Agaricomycetes; Thelephorales; Thelephoraceae.
GAACGCACCUUGCGCCCUUUGGCUAUUCUGAAGGGCAUGCCUGUUUGAGUAUCAUGAACACCUCAACUCUCGUGGUCCGCCGCGAUGAGCUUGGACUUUGGGGGUCUUGCCGGCCUAGUGUCGGCUCCUCUCAAAUGGAUCAGCCUGCCAGUGUUUGGUGGCAUCACGGGUGUGAUAACUAUCUACGCUUGUGGUUUUCCACCACGUAACCUUCAGCGAUGGAGGUUCGCUGGGGCUCACAGAUGUCUCUCCUCGGCGAGGACGGCUUUUGAACGUUUGAUCUCAAAUCAGGUAGGACUACCCGCUGAACUUAAG